GUUUCACCAGAAAGUUAUGCGGAAGGUUAAUCUGCAGGGCUGGGCUCUUUGUUAGGAAUGUGCCAGGGUGUCCCAGUUGCACACGGUGUCUGGGAGGUGUUGAUCAUGUCGUGGACGAGCUGAACCAAACCCGGGCACGGGACACUGGCGCUUGGGGAGAAGAGGGUGAUGUGACGUUCCAUCCGGAUUCACUCCGGAUUCCCCCACCCGACAACAGGUGGCUUUACUCCGUGUGAGCAGAUUUUCUUUGAUUUGCCCCCUGAGAGGAUCCAAGAUCUGCACAGUGUGUCCCUCCCCUUGGCAGCUGUGGGAGGCUCCCACUCGGCCCUGCUGAGCCGUGACUGUGGUGUCCCCAGGAUGACUGACCCGGGAAGAGACAUUUGGGUGUAAGCUCCUGGGACAGCCGACCUGGUGUCUUUCACCUCGCGGAUGAAGCCGGAGUCGGGCCACACGUCUCGUCUCAGAGCAGCAGGGCCAUGGGCACACAGGACUCCGUCCUAGGACUCACCCGCUGUUUUUUUUUUUUUCUCGCCUGUUGCCCCCUCGCAGGAGCCGUGUCCCUCCUUGCUUUCUCGACGAACCGUAGACGUGUUUUCAUUUAAAUUACUGCCAAGAAGGCUACAGAAAGCGCAUUCUCCUCGAACCUUUAAGAGGCCGAGGCUUGUCCCGGUUUCACGUGGCCAUCCAUAACGAAUGUGGCUAAAACAGCUAUUCGUUCCGGUAUUUGUGCAGAUCAGUAAUGCAGCCACAGCAGAAAACUCGUUCUUUUAUUGCAGACUUAGUUAAAUACGGAGCCGAGUGAGUCAUUGGAAGGUCACGUGUGUCCGGGCCCGGCAGCCGUGGGGUUGUGGGAUGGUCACCCAGCACCGCUCCAGAAUGCAGCGGCCGUCAGCACAGCGCCCGAUUACCGGGUGGAAUUAAAAUAAGACUUGGCCUUUCUUCGGACGACAAAUUCUUUGUGAAAACCAGACUUGGGUUUUUACCCUGACCUCCACUAGAGGCUCUGUGAGCCGGUUGUGUUCCGUCUUUGUGGCGGUGCCCCCCCCAUCCCCCCCGCCCGUGGGAUACGGUUCCUAAAGCCCAACUUCUGACCUGCGUGCCCCUUUGGGAACUUUCCUCGGUUGUCCUCUAGCGGGGUGAGCUCUGGGCGGAGUCCCCUUCACCCACGUGCCUUCUUUGUUCCCGAUCGCUGCACCCCUUUGAAAGUCAACGGAGGAGAUAGGAGGGAGGAAGGAGUCAAAGUAAAAGAAAGGUGUUCCUUCUCCCGUCAUUGUAGAUACGUGGGAGCCCUGCUGGGUGUUUGCCUUUAGUUUCUUCCCCCCACAGUAACGACGCACAAGUUGCAAAGCGCAGAGGAUUCAAAGGCUGGCGCUGAACAGCAGCUCCCAGCGCCCGGCUUCCCAGGGGCCUGGCCUCGGCGCCUGCUUCGUGCGGCUCUGUCUUCCAAGCGUGCGGGUCUCCUGUUUCUGAGUAACACCCGUGCGCUGCGCCUUUUGACCCAUCGUCUUGAGCCCGCUGACUGCUUUUCUGGCGGAUUCAGGCUGAGCACUCACGGACCCCCUCUGCUUCUCCUUCGCCGUCCUCCAGUACAGUCCUCCUGCGCGAUUUCUGUUCGGCUAGCGUUCACGGUUGUCACGCGGACACAACAGUCGCCCGCCUCCUGGACUCGUCUGGCCAGACCCCCUGCGUCUCCUUCCUGUUCCCCGCCUAGUUGUUGUCUCGCGGUUUCCGUGGCCGAACUUUCCUUGGUGGCCAACUCUCAUUCCUGCAGGGCCCGGAGCCUCUCUGCCUAACUUUGCACAAGGUCAACCACAUCUCCUGAUCUGUCCAUUCGGUCUGUUGCUUAGAUGUGUGAAAGACUUUGCAGACGAUUCAGCUGUGGUGGGAACGUUGUUACGGUUUUGUUACAAUCUCGGGUGCAAGGGGAGAGGCCCCAGGAGGCCAGUCCCCAAGCUGAUCUCAGUUAGGAAUUUUGUAUUUUGCAGGGAAAUUUGGAUUAUUUUACAGGGGAGGUUGGAUUAUUGUUAGAGUAAAUACAAAAAGAGGCCCAGCUAAA
Herpailurus yagouaroundi (jaguarundi) is the source of this 2056-nucleotide long non-coding RNA. RefSeq lists it as uncharacterized. The transcript has 2 exons. The record is from RefSeq and is a predicted model, not a curated record. NCBI's taxonomy places the organism in Eukaryota, Metazoa, Chordata, Mammalia, Carnivora, Felidae.